UCCGAACCACAUUAGACAUGAUACGCCUUUUAAAUUUGGCUGGAUCAAAAUCUAUGUUAAAUUAACAUUAUCCCAUGCGUGCUUAAAUGCCCUCAUUGCUUCAAGAUAAGUUUCUUUUAAAUAAGGGGACCUCAAUUUCAUAUUAUCUUUUUUUUAAAAAUUUAUUUUAUUACUAUUUAAGUCUAAGAAUACAUUUACG
Molecule: long non-coding RNA, 199 nt
Filed under: Panax ginseng (ginseng)
Lineage: Eukaryota; Viridiplantae; Streptophyta; Magnoliopsida; Apiales; Araliaceae
Description: long non-coding RNA (PGIN_LNC009040)
Source: RNAcentral